AUGGGUUAGGUAAAUGUUUCAUGAUAAGAAUACCAUGUCUUUUGUAUUAAAGAAUUAAAUGGAUGAAAUAUGAAGUUUUAUUAAAAGAAAAAGGGGUGAAAAGAACAAAGUUUUGUCCAUCUUUGUUCAUCAUAGCUGAAAGUUAGAGAAGAGAAAGGAGAGGAGAAAGCUCUUGAGUAUUCGGUCAUUAGGAGGAGGAAAAUUGAAGGCGGUUCGUGUGUGGAUCUCGUCAGCAUAUCGUCGCAAACAGGUGUGUAACUAACACCCUCUUUCUUAGUCUGGAUCGGCAAAAGUCGAAAAGCCGAAAUGCCGAAAACUGGUAUUUUGUAGAUUUACGAGUGUGCGAAUGCUCGUAAGGUAAAUCGAUUAAUGUUUUUGGUAAGCUGCAAAAUUUGGACUGCAAAGUGUAUGAUUUCUGUACCCUCGAUAUUUUUGGGCUUAAUGGGCCAAAAUUGGAAUGAUGGGCCAACGGGCCCAAUUCGGUAAUCCCCAACCAUAGUGGGCUUGGAGCUGUGAGGGAAUUCGAAGUGGCCACCCGUUCUGAAAGUUUGAUUUUCUUCUGGUAAACUGGACAUCCUUUUAUUUACGUUUGAAGUUUUGGGUUUUUAAAUGUAAUAAGGCCGCUUAAUUAUUUUUGAUGGUUUUAAUAUGUAUUACUAAGAUAGGUAUUACUUAUUUUAACUGUUGAAAUUGGAUAGCUUUAGGGCGCAUUUUCAAAAACAACAA
Molecule: long non-coding RNA, 726 nt
Organism: Gossypium arboreum
Lineage: Eukaryota; Viridiplantae; Streptophyta; Magnoliopsida; Malvales; Malvaceae
Exons: 3
Source: RefSeq, a predicted model, not a curated record